UACGUAGGGGGCAAGCGUUGUCCGGAUUUAUUGGGCGUAAAGAGCGUGUAGGCGGCCAGGUAGGUCGGUUGUGAAAACUGGAGGCUUAACCUCCAGACGUCGACCGAAACCCCUUGGCUAGAGUCCGGAAGAGGAGAGUGGAAUUCCUGGUGUAGCGGUGAAAUGCGCAGAUAUCAGGAAGAACACCCGUGGCGAAAGCGGCUCUCUGGGACGGUACUGACGCUGAGACGCGAAAGCGUGGGGAGCGAACAGG
This 253-nucleotide ribosomal RNA is filed under the name uncultured bacterium. Its description in RNAcentral is "partial 16S ribosomal RNA". It matches the Rfam family "Bacterial small subunit ribosomal RNA", at positions 524 to 776 of the family's 1533-position model. The record is from RNAcentral.